This 410-nucleotide ribosomal RNA is filed under the name uncultured bacterium. RNAcentral describes it as "bacterial SSU rRNA". It matches the Rfam family "Bacterial small subunit ribosomal RNA", at positions 8 to 423 of the family's 1533-position model. The record is from RNAcentral.
AGAGUUGAUCCUGGCUCAGAUUGAACGCUGGCGGCAUGCCUUACACAUGCAAGUCGAACGGUAACAGGUCUUCGGAUGCUGACGAGUGGCGAACGGGUGAGUAAUACAUCGGAACGUGCCCGAUCGUGGGGGAUAACGAGGCGAAAGCUUUGCUAAUACCGCAUACGAUCUACGGAUGAAAGCGGGGGAUCUUCGGACCUCGCGCGGACGGAGCGGCCGAUGGCAGAUUAGGUAGUUGGUGGGAUAAAAGCUUACCAAGCCGACGAUCUGUAGCUGGUCUGAGAGGAUGAUCAGCCACACUGGGACUGAGACACGGCCCAGACUCCUACGGGAGGCAGCAGUGGGGAAUUUUGGACAAUGGGCGAAAGCCUGAUCCAGCCAUGCCGCGUGCAGGAUGAAGGCCUUCGGGU